RNAcentral lists this long non-coding RNA (2637 nucleotides) under Homo sapiens (human). RNAcentral's name for it is "non-protein coding lnc-PABPC4-1:4". The record is from RNAcentral. Lineage: Eukaryota; Metazoa; Chordata; Mammalia; Primates; Hominidae.
ACGGUGCGGGCUUCCGGCGGAAGCGCUGGAAGCAAGAUGGCGGCCGCCGAGAGGGUUCACAAAGGGUUAGGAAUUUUAGACCCAGUUCUGCUACUGACUUUCUGUGUGGACACAAACUCACUGAGCCUUCAGUUCUUCAAAUCAUUUUUUUUUUCUUUUUUUUUUUUUUUUUUGAGAUGGAGUCUCACUCUGUCACCCAGGCUGGAGUGCAGUGGAGCGAUCUUGGCUCACUGCAACCUCUGCCUUCUGGGUUCAAGCGAUUCUCCUGCCUCAGCCUCCCAAGUAGCUGGGACUACAGGUGCCUGCCACCACCCCCAACUAAUUUUUUUGUAUUUUUAGUAGAGACGGGGUUUCACUAUGUUGGCCAGGCUGGUCUUGAACUCCUGACCUCGUGAUCCGCCUGCCUUGGCCUCCCAAAGUGCUGGGAUUACAGAUGUAAGCUGCUGUGCCAGCUUUUUUUUUUUUUUUAGAGACGGGGUCUUGCUCUGUCAUCCAGGCUGGAUUGCAGUGUCAUUGAUCAUAGCUCAAGCGGUCUUCCUGCCUCAGCCUCCCAAAGUGCUGUGAUUACAGGUGUGAGCCACUGCACCUGGCCUCUUCAUAUCUUACAACGAAAAGCACCAAGGAUUCUCUUUUGUUGAAUUUGAGUUGGCAGAGGAUGUUGCAGCAGCUGUCAACAACAUGUUUGGUCAGAUGAAGACUGGGUGGAGAAGUUUGCUGGGAAGAGGAUAAAGAGGAAGGUGGUUGAGACUUCCCAAAGCAGAAAGCCAGGAGGUAAGAAUGACAGUUCAUGCUUCCAUAGGAGAGGCUGCUGCUUUCCACAUAGGGAAUUUCUGAGGUGAGUGGUGUUGGGUGAAUUUAAAGGAGAAGUUUUGGCUUUCUUAUCUAGGUGAGAAAUAUCUUAUGUGGGCUCAGGUAUUUGUGAUUGCUGCUGAGCAAGGCGGAUAUCUGAGGUGAGAAAGGAUGGUGAGUACUCUGCAUCACCAGCAUCCGCUAUCCUCCUAGUCUUUGGCAGCAGGCUCACUGUCUUCCUGUUCUUGCCCUAAUUCCAAGGGGGCAGAAUCAUGUAGAGGUCCCUUCCCCUCAGUCAGUACACAGGCACAAGGCUCUCCCUGCCCUCUCCACUUGCUCCUGCUUCUCCAUCAGGCCAUCCUGACUGUUGCUUCCCAGGAUAAUUUAAGGGCUCCUCCUCCUCAGUCCACCCUUUGAGCAGUGAUAUUUCCCUGAAUUCCUUCCUUAGCCCUCAGCACCUCUCUCCACAUUAUCCUUAUGCCAUGUCAGCCCCUUCUAUCUCCUAAGGUUAUAACGAUCUUUCAUUGUCCGAAUGAUAUUCUGAUCUCUAUCCCUAGCCCUGACCUUUCACAUAUUUCUGUUUGGGUGUCUUAUAGGCACCAUAAAUAAAGCAUAUCCCAAAUGGGUUUCAUCACCUUUCUGGUCUUUUUUUAUGCCCAAUCUUAGUUCACUUUGCCAUCUUCAACAUAGUCACACCCAAACCAGAUUCCUUGGUGCCAGCUUAGAUCCCUCACUGUAUUUCAUACCUAAUGCAUUACCAUACCCUGCUAAUUUUAUCUUUUAAAUCUUGCGUUUCUCCUCUCCAGUUUUCUUCUGCCACUGUUGUCUUGGCUGAGGCCUUAUCCUCUCUCCUGUGAAUAAUUGGAGUAGCUUCCUAACUGGUCUCCCUGCCCCAGGCCUGUUUUCCUCCUAUCCUUAGCAGCCAGAGGGAGCUUUCUAAAGGGCAGAUCUGACUAUCUCACUCUCCUUAAGCAUUCUAGGGACUCCCUUGAUUUAUAGGAUUGAGUCCAGCCUCCAUCAAAAGGGACAGAAGACCUCUCUAUGUUCUGAUUCCUGCUUAUGUCUCCAUAUUUUAUCUCCAUUUUAUAUUCUAGGAAACAAGAGUUUGUAGAUACCUGUAAAUCUCUGUUUUGAUGUAAGUCAUUCCUCUGCCUGCAGUGUCCUUUUCCAAUUUAUUUUAUGUGGCUAAUGCCUGCUCAUUUCUCAUAGCGCAGCCCAUUUACUGCCUUCUCCAGGAAGCUUUUCUGAAUCCUCCAGUGAGUAAGGGAGAGCCCACUGCUAAAAAAGGCCUAGUCAAAUCCUCAGGUGUACAUGGACAUCAAGAUUGGGAACAAGCCGGCUGGCUGCAUCCAAACCCUCCUGCGUUCCGACGUCGUGCCCAUGACCACAGAGAAUUUUCUCUACAUGUGCACCCAUUUAAAGGACUCGGCUUCAAGGGAAGCAGCUUCCACCGCAUUAUCCCCCAGUUCAUUUGCCAGGGCAGUGAUUUCACAAACCACGGUGGCACCAGGGGUCUGCGCAGGCAUGGCACUAAGUGUCCCAUGGCACAUUUGGCCCUCAUGGAGGCCUCAAAAGGGCAGGACCAGCACCCUCUUCUACGGAGGAAGGAACGGGCACAGCAGAAACAAGGAGAGUCAGCAAUUACCAGCCAGCCAAGGUCCUGGAAGCUGACGUAGAGCUCGUGCCGACGGCAGACCUGCCGGCCGUGGGAGCCGCGGACGUCAUCUGCAGGGACAGAAGGGGCAAGGUCUUUUCUGGGGUUCCUGCUGUGUGCAGCUACUAUGGGGUACCAGGGUGGGGGAUGCCCUGAUGAGCACAUUUGUCAAAUAAAUGAAUGACAGGAAACCA